RNAcentral lists this ribosomal RNA (223 nucleotides) under Schistotaenia srivastavai. RNAcentral's name for it is "partial small subunit ribosomal RNA". The record is from RNAcentral. Lineage: Eukaryota; Metazoa; Platyhelminthes; Cestoda; Cyclophyllidea; Schistotaeniidae.
CUUAUUUUAUGUUGGUGUAUAUCUGGUUUAAUAUUAUUGCUUUAAUAGCUUAAUUUGUGUAUAUCAAGUUUUUAAGCCAAGUCUAUGUGCUGCUUAUUUAAGUUUUCAUGCGUUACAUUUAUAAUAUUAAUUGUGUAAAAUGUUAGUAUUUAGGACUUAAUAGUAAUGUAGAAUUAGUUUGUUUAUGUGAAAUUGGUUUAGCUUGGGUACACACCGCCCGUCA